This 451-nucleotide ribosomal RNA is filed under the name uncultured bacterium. RNAcentral describes it as "bacterial SSU rRNA". It matches the Rfam family "Bacterial small subunit ribosomal RNA", at positions 354 to 796 of the family's 1533-position model. The record is from RNAcentral.
GUGGGGAAUAUUGGACAAUGGGGGGAACCCUGAUCCAGCCAUGCCGCGUGUGUGAAGAAGGCCUUUUGGUUGUAAAGCACUUUAAGCGAGGAGGAGGCUACCGAGAUUAAUACUCUUGGAUAGUGGACGUUACUCGCAGAAUAAGCACCGGCUAACUCUGUGCCAGCAGCCGCGGUAAUACAGAGGGUGCAAGCGUUAAUCGGAUUUACUGGGCGUAAAGCGCGCGUAGGUGGCCAAUUAAGUCAAAUGUGAAAUCCCCGAGCUUAACUUGGGAAUUGCAUUCGAUACUGGUUGGCUAGAGUAUGGGAGAGGAUGGUAGAAUUCCAGGUGUAGCGGUGAAAUGCGUAGAGAUCUGGAGGAAUACCGAUGGCGAAGGCAGCCAUCUGGCCUAAUACUGACACUGAGGUGCGAAAGCAUGGGGAGCAAACAGGAUUAGAAACCCUUGUAGUCC